GACGAACGCUGGCGGCGUGCUUAACACAUGCAAGUCGAACGAAAAGACCCGCUUCUUGGGUCCCCGAGUGGAGAACGGGUGGGUAACACGUCAGUAACCUACCCUUCACUUUGGGAUAACUUCAGUAAACUGAGGCCAAUACCGGACCGGAGAUCAUGCUGAAUGGUGUGGUUUGGAAAGUUUCGGCGGUUUGGGAUGGACUCGCGGCUGAUUAGCUUGUUGGUGGGGUAGUGGCUAACCAAGGCUUUGACGGGUAGCCGGCCUGAGAGGGUGACCGGCCGCAUUGGGACUGAGAUACGGCCCAGUAGCCUAUGGGAGGCAGCAGUGGAGAAUAUUGCACAGUGGGGGGAAGCCUGAUGCAGCGACGCCGCGAGCGGGAUGACGUCCUUCGGGUUGUAAACCGCUUUCUCCGGUGACGAAGCGUGAUUGACGGUAAUGGGUAAGGAAGCACCGGCUAACUACGUG
RNAcentral lists this ribosomal RNA (465 nucleotides) under uncultured bacterium. RNAcentral's name for it is "partial 16S ribosomal RNA". It matches the Rfam family "Bacterial small subunit ribosomal RNA", at positions 28 to 507 of the family's 1533-position model. The record is from RNAcentral.